GUAGGUGAACCUGCGGAAGGAUCAUUAUCACGUAUCCACGUAUAAACCAUUGUGAACCGUUCUUUCACCUUUGCAAGGGAUAGGAAAAAGGCCGAGUGUUCUUUCUCUCCGGAGUUGGCGCUCAAUCGAUUUCCUGUUACCUGCAAAGCGUAUAACCUUUAUAUUAACCAUUUUAACCAAUCUUUAUAACUUUUAUGAACUAAACUUUAUUUUAUACUCUUCGGAGAUAAAAUUCAUUACGAAACAAAGAACAACUCUUAGCAACGGAUAUCUUGGUUCUC
Molecule: unclassified non-coding RNA, 281 nt
Filed under: rhizosphere metagenome
Description: partial ribosomal RNA internal transcribed spacer region
Source: RNAcentral